UAGAGUUUGAUCAUGGCUCAGAUUGAACGCUGGCGGCAGGCCUAACACAUGCAAGUCGAGCGGAAACGAGUUGUUUGAACCUUCGGGGGACGACAACGGCGUCGAGCGGCGGACGGGUGAGUAAUGCCUGGGAAAUUGCCCUGAUGUGGGGGAUAACCAUUGGAAACGAUGGCUAAUACCGCAUGAUAGCUUCGGCUCAAAGAGGGGGACCUUCGGGCCUCUCGCGUCAGGAUAUGCCCAGGUGGGAUUAGCUAGUUGGUGAGGUAAGGGCUCACCAAGGCGACGAUCCCUAGCUGGUCUGAGAGGAUGAUCAGCCACACUGGAACUGAGACACGGUCCAGACUCCUACGGGAGGCAGCAGUGGGGAAUAUUGCACAAUGGGCGCAAGCCUGAUGCAGCCAUGCCGCGUGUAUGAAGAAGGCCUUCGGGUUGUAAAGUACUUUCAGCAGUGAGGAAGAUGGUGUGCAUAAUACGCACAUCAUUUGACGUUAGCUGCAGAAGAAGCACCGGCUAACUCCGUGCCAGCAGCCACGGUAAUACGGAGGGUGCGAGCGUUAAUCGGAAUUACUGGGCGUAAAGCGCAUGCAGGUGGUUUGUUAAGUCAGAUGUGAAAGCCCGGGGCUCAACCUCGGAAUAGCAUUUGAAACUGGCGGACUAGAGUACUGUAGAGGGGGGUAGAAUUUCA
Molecule: ribosomal RNA, 685 nt
Filed under: uncultured Vibrionaceae bacterium
Lineage: Bacteria; Pseudomonadati; Pseudomonadota; Gammaproteobacteria; Vibrionales; Vibrionaceae
Description: bacterial SSU rRNA
Rfam family: Bacterial small subunit ribosomal RNA
Source: RNAcentral